RNAcentral lists this ribosomal RNA (492 nucleotides) under uncultured bacterium. Its description in RNAcentral is "partial 16S ribosomal RNA". It matches the Rfam family "Bacterial small subunit ribosomal RNA", at positions 29 to 507 of the family's 1533-position model. The record is from RNAcentral.
AGUGAACGCUGGCGGUAGGCCUAACACAUGCAAGUCGAACGGCAGCACAGUAAGGGCUUGCUCUUACGGGUGGCGAGUGGCGGACGGGUGAGGAAUACAUCGGAAUCUACUUUUUCGUGGGGGAUCACGUAGGGAAACUUACGCUAAUACCGCAUACGACCUACGGGUGAAAGCAGGGGAUCUUCGGACCUUGCGCGAUUGAAUGAGCCGAUGUCGGAGUAGCUAGUUGGCGGGGUAAAGGCCCAGCAAGGGGACGAUCCGUAGCUGGUCUGAGAGGAUGAUCAGCCACACUGGAACUGAGACACGGUCCAGACGCCUACGGGAGGCAGCAGUGGGCAAUAGGGGACAAUGGGCGCAAGCAUGGUCCAGCCAUACCGCGUGGGUGAAGAAGGCCUUCGGGUUGUAAAGCCCUUUUGUUGGGAAAGAAAAGCAGCAGGUUAAUACCCCGCUGUUCUGACGGUACCCAAAGAAUAAGCACCGGCUAACUUCGUG